This 426-nucleotide ribosomal RNA is filed under the name uncultured prokaryote. Its description in RNAcentral is "bacterial SSU rRNA". It matches the Rfam family "Bacterial small subunit ribosomal RNA", at positions 355 to 774 of the family's 1533-position model. The record is from RNAcentral.
UCGAGAAUUUUUCACAAUGGGCGAAAGCCUGAUGGAGCGACGCCGCGUGGGGGAUGAAUGGCUUCGGCCCGUAAACCCCUGUCAUUCGCGAUCAACCCUUAGUAUUUAAAAGAUGCUAAGCUGAUAGUAGCGGAAGAGGAAGGGACGGCUAACUCUGUGCCAGCAGCCGCGGUAAUACAGAGGUCCCAAGCGUUGUUCGGAUUCACUGGGCGUAAAGGGUGCGUAGGUGGUGACGUAAGUCGGAUGUGAAAUCUCGGGGCUCAACUCCGAAAUGGCAUUGGAAACUGCGGCGCUUGAGGGUCGGAGGGGGGACUGGAAUUCUCGGUGUAGCAGUGAAAUGCGUAGAUAUCGGGAGGAACACCAGUGGCGAAGGCGAGUCCCUGGACGACUCCUGACACUGAGGCACGAAAGCUAGGGGAGCAAACA